CUGGGACUUGAGAUUCCAGGUACCAGGAUGAUCUUCAGGUUCUCAUGACCUCACUGCUAAACGUAGAAAUACAUACAAACAUGGUAUAGACAAAAUUAACAUCACACCAACCAUAAGUACAAACUGAAUAAUAAUGAUCUACGCGAUGCUACGAGAUCGUAGAAACAAGAACCACUAAAUUCGGAGCUACGGUUAUUAAGUUAGGAAUUUCUGAAGUUAUUUAAUACCUAGAAUAGAGUUAUUCAUGUGAAUAAUUUUAAAUCAAGUUUCAUGGUUAGACAAAUGUACUAGGUAAUAAACAAUACUUAAACAAAAUUAAUCCCACUGGAAUGAAUCAAUUUGGAGCUAAAUUCAUCAAGUUAUGAAUUUUCUAAGCUUAUCAUAUUUAUUUUUAUCCUGAAAAUCAUUUUAGAUUUUUAUUUCCUGAAAUUCCCAGACUCUGGACGGCGACCACUAUUUUCGAAAACUCGGGGGCUAACACGUGAAAUCACCCAGACACAGAGAACUCCGCACAGGAUGGCGGGUUGAUUCCCCAUAACCCAAGGGGCUCUUAAGCAAAAAGCCAACGGCGAAGAGGUAAGGAACAACCAGAGCCGUUGGAUUAAAAGGAUACGGUCCAGAUUAGAUUUUUACAACUCUGAACCGGUACGCAGCCCUGGCCCUCGGAUUUGGAUCUAACGAUGUAAAUUUUAAGUACCAAGAUCUAAUCGUAGCCACUUGAUCCGAGAUCUACAGUUCUAAUUCCGCUGGGUGAAGGGGUACACUGGUCAGAUCGGGACCGUAAGCCAGCGAUCCUACGACUACAGACGUCGCACGGCCAAAUCCAAUCUAGGCCGCCCAAGACCCAUCAGACGGUCCGUACCCUUCUUCCCCCCUACGCCCUCCUAUUUCCUUUUCUCUCUCUCUCUCCAUGGCUGACCGGUGGCGCGUGAGCACGACCGUUGUAACGCCCCGAAUUUUUGCAGUUGAAUUUUUUUUCUUUUCUUUACUCGCCAAAAUUCGGGCGUUACCUUUUCUUUUUCUUUUCCCCCUCGCUAAACCUUGACCUUUUCCAAAGUUCUAGCGGGAUUCGGUUUGGAAUUCCCGUGUGAUGAAAAACCCUAAAUACUUUGUGUUGUUGAUGCACCAUGCCGAACCUUGCAUUUCUUUUGAUUGCUUUGAAAGUACAAAUGCAUUCAUGUAGAAAGAUCGGAUUUCGAAAAUGAGGAGAAGAUCUUUUCUUCCUUUUUUUCUCUCUCUUUCUCUCUCCUCUUUUUCUCUCUCUCCCGCGCCGUGGGCCGACCCCGGCCGGCCCAGCCGCCCCUGGCGCCCCCUCUUGGGCCCAAAAAGGCCCAACCGCCCCCCCACCUCCCUCUUUUUUUCCCAAACCCUCUCCCUCUCCCUCUCAUUUUUUUCCCUCUCUCAUUCUCUCCCUAGCCGCCGCCCCUACCCGCCCCCUGCCCUAGCGCCGCCCCCUGCCCUAAGCCGCCGCCGCCGCCCCUCGCCGUCGCUCCCCAACGCCGGUGAGCCCCCCCCUCCUCCCUCUCUCCCUCCUCCCUCCCUCUCCCCUCCCCCUCCUCUCUCCUCGGCCACCGCCCCAGUCGCGCCCCCUGGCCGCGCGCCGCCCGGCCGCCUGGCUCGGCCGCCCGCUUGUCUGCCUGGCCGCGUGCCCGCCUGGCCCCGGCCGCGCUUGGCCCCUGGCCGCGCCCUGGCCUUUGGCCGCGCGCGCCCUGGCCGCGCCCCCUGGCCGCUCGGCCGGCUCAGCCGCCCCGGCUCGGCCGCCCCUGCGCGCCCUGCCCCCGGCCGGUUCAACCGCCCCUAGGGCCGGUUCAACCGCCCCCCCCCCCCCUCUGUUUUUUUUUAUUUUUUUAUUUAAUUUUAUUUACUUUCUGUGAUCAUAGUUAUUUUAUUUUAGGUAGGGUAAUCAUUGUUAAUGUUAUUGAAAUAGGAAGUUUAAUUUAAAAUUCCGUUAUGCUAGUUGAUUCAUGUAGUUAAUUGUUUAUCUCGUGCAAUGUUGAUCAACUUAAAAUGAAUAGGUUUCCACUAGUGCAUAUAACAAGAAUUCUUUUGUUAGGAACCCAUUGAAACUAGAGUGCAUAAUUUAACUAAUCAUUAGUGCAUAAACUUUAACCCCCUGCGAGGCCCUUUCCCGUUUCUUUCUAACCGUAACAAAUGCGAUAUCGAAUGUCAUACUUGAUGCAUAUUCGCUUUGUUUGUUCCCUUGUAUGGUGUACUGUUCUUUUGUAUUAAAUGUGGAUGGAUGUAUGUAUGUUUGCAAUCGCAUAGAGAACGAUCCGGUCGAAGAGCCCGAGGAAUUCGCAGGAGAAGCCCCUGAGCAGCAGUCGGUUGGUGGAGGCAAGUGUCCUUUGACCUAUCUCUGUCCUAUUCAUUAUUUAAUUCACCUCCCGCUUACACAUUUAUGCCUAAGGAUUGACUAGCUUUUGUUAUCCAUGUCCUUGUUUACCUAUCUGGGUUGGAUUAUUACUGUUUAGCUUUAUGCUAUUGCUCAACCUCUAAUCAAUGAACAUGAUGAGAUUAUCUAUGAUACGCUGUUUUCCCUUCUUUUAUUAUGAUGUUGUACUUGUGGUCUUCAAGGGGGCUCGAGCGGUUUCUCGAGUGCCUCUCCGUAAGGACCUGUUCUAUGGAUGACCGCCCGGGAAAACAGUGCAACCAUGAGGGUGGAAUGGGGUGCCCUUAGCUGAAUAAUUAGAGGAUCCGGGGUGUAGUUCACUUAGCCGUCGUGCCGUCAAUGGGGCUCGGUGUAUGCGGCUCGCUCUGCCAAGUUUGGGUUCGCCCCUUGGGGAGGAGUGCGGUGCAUUUAGGAAACCUAACGGGUGGCUACAGCCCCGGGGAAUCUUUGUAAAGGCUUCGUAGUGAAUCCCUGGCUAUUCACCUCGGGAGUGAAUAAGGGUCUUGCAAGCCCGGGCCAGAGAGGGAAUCACGGCUUGUGGGUAAAGUGCACAACCUCUGCAGAGUGUUUGAAAAACUGAUAUAUCAGCCGUGCUCACGGUUAUGAGCGGCCAAGGGAGCUCCAGUGAUUAGUGGUACUUGAUCAGAGAUGUUCGGAUUACAGGUGGUGAUGAGAAUGAUGGUUUUGAUUAUGAUUAUGAUGCUGGUAAGUGGUACUCUUUCCGUUUGGAAAGGAGUACGUUUGGGUUAAUAACUUGGGUUAAUGCUAAAACUUGGCUUUCUACUAGUAAGUAAUAAUCUGACCAACUAAAAGCAACUGCUUGACUUAUCCCCACAUACAGCUAGUCCACUACAGCCAAACAGGAUACUUGCUGAGUAUGUUGAUGUGUACUCACCCUUGCUCUACACACCAACCCCCCCCCAUCCCCAGGUUGUCAGCAUUGCAACCACUGCUCAGGCGAAGAUGAAGCUGUGGAAGGAGACUUCCAGGAGUUCCAAGAUUACGACGAGUUCUAGGUGUGGGUUAGCGGCAACCCCCAGUCGGCUGCCUGUGAAGGCCGCGUUUAUCUACGUUUCUUUUCCGCACUUUGAUUUAUUGUAAGGACUAUAUGGACGUCUCAGACGUAUGAUGUAAUCAACUAUUUCCCUUUUUAAUACUAUUUUGAGCACUGUGUGAUGAUGUCCAUAUUAUGUAACUGCUGUGUACGUGAAUAACUGAUCCUGGCACGUACAUGGUUCGCAUUCGGUUUGCCUUCUAAAACCGGGUGUGACAUAAGUGGUAUCAAAGCCGUGCUGACUGUAGGACCGCUAACCUAGAGUAGAAUGGUCGUUCUAAGGACUAUAGACCUCUGUCUCUGCCUUGACUUUGAUAUCCCUUCAAAAGUUGGUCAUACCGACCAAACCUAUGUUCUACUAUAUACUAUACCUUGCUGAAAAUCAUGUUUUAUUCUAAUCCUUCAUUUACUUAUGAUUCAUUAUUUGCUGGUCAUAUUAAUUCUGUUCUCACCCUUUUGCUUGCGAUGUCUUUUGUAGAUGGCUCGACUUAGACACACUGCACGAAAGUCAGUCAUCCCCUUCUUACCCUCCCGCCUUGCUGAGCGUCCGCUUCGCCGUCCCGUGGCCGGACAGUCCAGCCACUUGGAGAGACUACACCACCGCCUGCGUGAGGAGCAGGAACGUCGACGACAGGAGCAGCAGAGCUCUUCCUUCUCGCUCCACCAGGAGAUAGAGUCUGUGAGGAGCUGCUCCCCUGUGCUUCCUCUGGAGCCGCCCCCUGCACCACCACUGGGCGCCCCAGCUUCUGGAGUAGCUGCUGGAGGAGACCCAGACGACGGAGGUGGCGACGACAGCUCGAGCCACGACACCGACUUCUCUGCUAACCCUGAGCCGGAAGGAUGGGUUGCUCGACCCAUCACUCGCGACGCUGCUCGCGGGUGUCACUUCCAUGAUGCGCUCGACACCCUGCUACGUCGGGCAUUUGACCGGCAUACUUGGUCCGUCGAGUAUCGCUGUGUGGUCUACCAGCAUAGUCGCGGGGUCUACCCGGACCGCUGGGAGGCAACCUGCUUGGUGCGCUGCCCGGAGAACAGUCUCCAGGGUGCGGAGGCCUGUUCAGAGCACUAUUCUAUCUCUGAACGGGACUCAGCUGAGGCAGCCAUGCAAGAUGCUGCACGGCGUGCGCUUUCGCACUACUGCUCGGUUUUCGGUGGGGCAGCUGACGGUCUUGACCUGAAGUAUUACCCCCGCCGUCCAUCUGGCAGCACAGGAGGCGUGAUUGUCUCACCUGUCGGUGAGGGCAAUCCUAGGUUGAGCAGCACAGUCAACCUAGCCGCCGUGCUAAACACGGAGCUGGACCAUGCAUUAGAUGAGCUGAGUAGGGCUCGUGCUGAGAUCGCCCUGCGGCGGGCUGAGCGCGCGGAACGUCGUCAUCUGGAUGGUGGUUCCCCCGCUCCCGUCGGGACUCAGCACCCGUACCGCUCACCUCAGCGUGGAGACCAGUCUUAUGGCAAUCCCGACUGCAAGACCAAGAUAACUCUAGAACCAUAGCUCGUUAGAGUUGGAUCUUGUAAUUAAUACGAAAUAUAUAUACAUAGAAGCUUCAGUCUUAGCGUUAGUCUCAGUCUUAGUUAGUCUUAGUUAGACAGGGUAGUUUGCUAUAUCCUGUGCAUCUAUGUUUGUCAUGAUGAACUAUGUUUGAUUUGGAUCUUUGUAAUGACUGUCACCAGAGUGUGGGUAUCCCCUGCAUUUUGGUUUACCUAUUAUGUUAAUGGAGUUAGUUAUAUAGUUGGGAAACCCCCUUUUAUUCCACUUUCCUCUUUAUCUGAGAAGCUGUGUGGUCUGUGUUGGAGAUCAGUGAAGAUGCUCAUCUGUUCAGUGCUGUUGAAGAAUUCUAUUCUCUUUUCUUAUGCUGCAAGAUUUGCCAGAUCAGUUCUGAUGUGUGGUUGCAUUCUGCAGAUGUCAGAGAACAGGCGCAGAGGAGGAAGGCGUGCUCAGCAGGAGCGAGCCGCUCAACAGGAGGAGGUGCCCCAGCAGCAGCACCUGCCGCCCCCGCCCCCGAUGUCCAUCGAGCAGAUGUUUCUGAUGCAGACUCAGGCAGUUCAAGCCAUCGGUCAGACUUUGGCCGCCAUUCAGCAGCAGCAGCAGCAGGCUCCACCUCAGCCUCAGAUGCCUCAGAUGCCCAGAGACAAGCGUGCUGAAUUCAUGAGAGGUCAUCCACCAACGUUCGCUCACUCUUCUGACCCCAUGGAUGCUGAAGAUUGGCUGCGCACUGUGGAGCGGGAGUUGCAUACCGCUCAGUGCGAUGACAGGGAGAAAGUCCUGUAUGGUCCCCGUCUGUUGAGAGGAGCAGCCCAAUCAUGGUGGGAGUCUUACCUCGCCACCCAUGCCCAUCCUGACGCCAUCACCUGGGAAGAGUUCAGAGGUAGCUUUCGUCAGUACCAUGUUCCUGCAGGUCUGAUGACAGUGAACAAGGAGGAGUUCCUGGCUCUCAAGCAAGGGCCAUUGUCUGUCAGUGAGUACCGGGACAGGUUUCUGCAAUUGUCUCGCUAUGCACCUGAAGAUGUCAACACUGACGCCAAGCGACAGUACCGUUUCCUGAGAGGCUUGGUCGACCCUCUGCAGUAUCAACUGAUGAAUCACACCUUCCCGACAUUCCAGCACCUGAUUGACAGAGCAAUCAUGACAGAGAGAAAGCGUAAGGAGAUGGAAGAUCGUAAGCGCAAGAUCAGUGGACCCCAGCCUGGAAGCAGCAAUCGUCCUCGUUUCUCAGGCAAUCAACCUCAGCAGUUCAGGCAGAACCAGCGUGCACCUCAGCAGCAUCAGCAGUUCCAAAGGCAGUACCCUCAGAACCAGUAUCAGAACCGUCAGAGCAAUCAGUCAGGAGGUCAGUUUCCGAGGCAGAAUCAGCAGGCACCUCGCCUUCCUGCCCCAGCAAACCAGCAGAACAGUCAGGCAGCACCAGCUCAGGUUGGAAACAGAGCAUGUUUCCACUGUGGAGAGCAAGGCCACUGGGUGAUGCAAUGUCCGAAGAAGGCAGCCCAGCAGCAGUCAGGCCCCAAUGCCCCAGCAAAGCAGAAUGUGCCUCAGCCUGGAGCAGACAAUCGCUCUCAGCCGCGCUACAAUCAUGGAAGACUGAACCACUUGGAGGCUGAAGCAGUUCAGGAGACCCCCGGCAUGAUAGUAGGUAUGUUCCCAGUCGACUCCCAUAUUGCAGAAGUGUUAUUUGAUACUGGAGCAACGCAUUCUUUCAUUGCUGCAUCAUGGGUAGAAGCACAUAAUCUUCCAAUUACUACCAUGUCAACCCCCAUUCAAAUUGACUCAGCCGGUGGUAGAAUUCGAGCCGAUAGCAUUUGUUUGAAUAUAAGUGUGGAAAUAAGGGGGAUAGCGUUUCCCGCCAACCUUAUAGUAAUGGGUACUCAGGGAAUAGAUGUCAUCCUAGGGAUGAAUUGGCUAGAUAAGUAUCAGGCAGUUAUCAGUUGUGAUAAGAGGACAAUCAAGUUGGUGUCCCCACUAGGAGAGGAAGUGGUGACUGAGUUAGUCCCACCUGAGCCGAAGAAAGGAAGUUGUUAUCAGAUGGCUGUCGAUAGCAGUGAAGCAGACCCAAUUGAAAGUAUCAAGGUUGUGUCCGAGUUCCCAGAUGUGUUUCCAAAGGAUUUACCGGGUAUGCCACCAGAGCGGAAAGUUGAGUUUGCUAUAGAGCUUCUUCCUGGAACCGCCCCUAUCUUUAAGAGAGCUUACAGAAUAUCUGGACCAGAGUUGGAUGAACUUAAGAAGCAGAUUGAUGAGCUGUCAGAGAAAGGUUACAUCCGGCCAAGCACCUCGCCUUGGGCCGCCCCUGUCCUAUUUGUGGAGAAGAAAGAUGGCACCAAGAGGAUGUGCAUCGAUUAUCGAGCUUUGAAUGAGGUCACGAUCAAGAACAAGUAUCCCUUGCCCAGAAUAGAAGAUCUGUUCGACCAGUUGAGAGGAGCCAGUGUGUUCUCCAAGAUUGAUCUGAGGUCAGGUUAUCAUCAGCUCAUAAUCCGACCUUCGGACAUUCCGAAGACGGCAUUCAUUUCCAAGUAUGGUUUGUAUGAGUUCACAGUGAUGUCUUUUGGUUUGACCAAUGCGCCAGCAUUCUUCAUGAACUUGAUGAACAGUGUAUUCAUGGAUUAUCUUGAUAAGUUUGUGGUGGUAUUCAUUGAUGAUAUUCUAGUUUAUUCUCAAAGUGAAGAAGAGCACGCAGAUCAUUUGAGGAUGGUGUUGCAGAGAUUGCGAGAGCACCAGUUGUAUGCAAAGUUGAGUAAGUGUGAGUUCUGGAUCAGUGAAGUCCUGUUUUUGGGUCACAUAAUCAACAAGGAAGGAUUGGCUGUGGAUCCGAAGAAAGUGGCAGACAUUCUGAACUGGAAAGCGCCAACAGAUGCUAGAGGAAUCAAGAGUUUCAUUGGAAUGGCCGGAUAUUAUCGGCGAUUCAUUGAAGGAUUUUCAAAGAUUGCGAAACCAAUGACGGCGUUGCUAGGCAACAAAGUUGAGUUCAAGUGGACCCAGAAAUGUCAAGAGGCCUUUCAAGCGCUGAAAGAGAAGUUGACUACAGCGCCUGUCCUAGUCUUGCCUGAUGUGCACAAGCCCUUCUCGGUGUAUUGCGAUGCUUGCUACACAGGUUUGGGAUGUGUGUUGAUGCAAGAGGGAAGAGUUGUGGCUUACUCGUCCCGACAGCUGAAGGUUCAUGAGAAGAAUUACCCAAUCCAUGAUCUAGAGUUGGCAGCAGUGGUUCACGCACUGAAGACCUGGAGGCACUAUCUGUAUGGACAGAAAUGCGAUGUUUACACAGACCACAAGAGUCUUAAGUACAUAUUCACUCAGUCAGAGUUGAACAUGAGGCAGCGAAGAUGGUUAGAGUUGAUCAAAGACUAUGAGUUGGAGAUUCAUUACCAUCCAGGCAAAGCAAACGUAGUGGCAGAUGCUUUGAGCAGAAAGAGUCAAGUCAAUCUGAUGGUCGCUCGUCCGAUGCCCUAUGAGUUGGCCAAAGAGUUUGACAGGUUGAGUCUCGGAUUUCUGAACAAUUCGCGAGGAGUCACAGUUGAGUUGGAACCUACCUUGGAGCGCGAAAUCAAAGAAGCGCAGAAGAAUGAUGAGAAAAUCAGUGAGAUCCGGCGACUGAUUCUGGAAGGCAAAGGCAAAGAUUUUCGAGAAGAUGCAGAAGGCGUGAUAUGGUUCAAAGAUCGCUUGUGUGUUCCCAAUGUCCAGUCCAUUCGGGAGCUGAUUCUUAAAAGAAGCUCAUGAGACAGCUUAUUCGAUUCACCCUGGCAGUGAGAAGAUGUAUCAGGAUCUGAAGAAGAAAUUCUGGUGGUACGGAAUGAAGAGGGAAAUCGCAGAGCAUGUGGCUAUGUGCGAUAGUUGCCGAAGAAUUAAGGCAGAACACCAGAGACCUGCUGGAUUGUUGCAACCGUUGCAGAUCCCUCAGUGGAAAUGGGAUGAAAUUGGUAUGGAUUUCAUAGUCGGAUUGCCUCGCACUCGAGCCGGCUACGAUUCCAUCUGGGUAGUAGUGGACCGUUUGACCAAGUCAGCCCACUUCAUACCUGUCAAGACCAACUACAACAGUGCAGUAUUGGCAGAAUUGUACAUGUCUCGGAUCGUUUGUCUUCAUGGUGUGCCAAAGAAGAUAGUGUCAGAUAGAGGAACGCAGUUCACCUCUCAUUUCUGGCAGCAGUUACAUGAAGCCUUGGGCACACAUCUGAAUUUCAGUUCAGCUUAUCACCCGCAGACAGAUGGCCAGACCGAAAGGACCAAUCAAAUUCUCGAAGAUAUGUUGAGAGCCUGUGCGUUGCAAGAUCAGUCCGGAUGGGACAAGCGAUUGCCUUAUGCAGAGUUUUCCUAUAACAACAGUUACCAGGCCAGUUUAAAGAUGUCACCGUUUCAAGCGCUUUAUGGAAGGAGUUGUAGAACUCCGUUGCAAUGGGAUCAGCCUGGAGAAAAGCAAGUGUUUGGGCCAGACAUUUUGCUUGAAGCCGAAGAGAACAUCAAGAUGGUCCGAGAGAAUCUGAAGAUAGCGCAAUCGAGGCAGCGAAGCUAUGCAGACACAAGAAGAAGAGAGCUGAGUUUCGAAGUCGGAGACUUUGUCUAUCUGAAAGUGUCACCGAUCAGAGGAGUCAGAAGAUUCGGAGUGAAAGGCAAGCUAGCGCCCCGCUACAUUGGUCCGUAUCAGAUUCUUGCAAGACGAGGAGAAGUGGCCUAUCAGCUCAGUUUGCCCGAGAAUUUGUCUGCUGUGCAUAAUGUCUUUCAUGUGUCUCAGUUGAAGAAGUGCUUGCGUGUGCCAGAAGAGCAGUUGCCAGUGGAAGGUCUGGAAGUCCAGGAGGACUUGACCUACGUUGAGAAGCCAGUGCAAAUCCUUGAGAUUGCAGACAGAGUCACCCGAAGGAAGACCAUCAGAAUGUGCAAAGUCAGAUGGAAUCACCACUCUGAGGAAGAAGCAACCUGGGAGCGUGAAGAUGAUUUGAUGGCCAAGUACCCAGAGCUCUUUGCUAGCCAGCCCUGAAUCUCGAGGGCGAGAUUCUUUUAAGGGGGAUAGGUUUGUAACGCCCCGAAUUUUUGCAGUUGAAUUUUUUUUCUUUUCUUUACUCGCCAAAAUUCGGGCGUUACCUUUUCUUUUUCUUUUCCCCCUCGCUAAACCUUGACCUUUUCCAAAGUUCUAGCGGGAUUCGGUUUGGAAUUCCCGUGUGAUGAAAAACCCUAAAUACUUUGUGUUGUUGAUGCACCAUGCCGAACCUUGCAUUUCUUUUGAUUGCUUUGAAAGUACAAAUGCAUUCAUGUAGAAAGAUCGGAUUUCGAAAAUGAGGAGAAGAUAUUUUCUUCCUUUUUUUUCUCUCUCUUUCUCUCUCCUCUUUUUCUCUCUCUCCCGCGCCGUGGGCCGACCCCGGCCGGCCCAGCCGCCCCUGGCGCCCCCUCUUGGGCCCAAAAAGGCCCAACCGCCCCCCCCACCUCCCUCUUUUUUUCCCAAACCCUCUCCCUCUCCCUCUCAUUUUUUUCCCUCUCUCAUUCUCUCCCUAGCCGCCGCCCCUACCCGCCCCCUGCCCUAGCGCCGCCCCCUGCCCUAAGCCGCCGCCGCCCCUGCCGGCCGCCCCUCGCCGUCGCUCCCCAACGCCGGUGAGCCCCCCCCUCCUCCCUCUCUCCCUCCUCCCUCCCUCUCCCCUCCCCCUCCUCUCUCCUCGGCCACCGCCCCAGCCGCGCCCCCUGGCCGCGCGCCGCCCGGCCGCCUGGCUCGGCCGCCCGCUUGGCCGCCUGGCCGCGUGCCCGCCUGGCCGCGUGCCCGCCUGGCCCCGGCCGCGCUUGGCCCCUGGCCGCGCCCCCUGGCCGCUCGGCCGGCUCAGCCGCCCCGGCUCGGCCGCCCCUGCGCGCCCUGCCCCCGGCCGGUUCAACCGCCCCUAGGGCCGGUUCAACCGCCCCCCCUCUGUUUUUUUUAUUUUUUUUAUUUUAUUUUAUUUACUUUCUGUGAUCAUAGUUAUUUUAUUUUAGGUAGGCUAAUCAUUGUUAAUGUUAUUGAAAUAGGAAGUUUAAUUUAAAAUUCCGUUAUGCUAGUUGAUUCAUGUAGUUAAUUGUUUAUCUCGUGCAAUGUUGAUCAACUUAAAAUGAAUAGGUUUCCACUAGUGCAUAUAACAAGAAUUCUUUUGUUAGGAACCCAUUGAAACUAGAGUGCAUAAUUUAACUAAUCAUUAGUGCAUAAACUUUAACCCCCUGCGAGGCCCUUUCCCGUUUCUUUCUAACCGUAACAAAUGCGAUAUCGAAUGUCAUACUUGAUGCAUAUUCGCUUUGUUUGUUCCCUUGUAUGGUGUACUGUUCUUUUGUAUUAAAUGUGGAUGGAUGUAUGUAUGUUUGCAAUCGCAUAGAGAACGAUCCGGUCGAAGAGCCCGAGGAAUUCGCAGGAGAAGCCCCUGAGCAGCAGUCGGUUGGUGGAGGCAAGUGUCCUUUGACCUAUCUCUGUCCUAUUCAUUAUUUAAUUCACCUCCCGCUUACACAUUUAUGCCUAAGGAUUGACUAGCUUUUGUUAUCCAUGUCCUUGUUUACCUAUCUGGGUUGGAUUAUUACUGUUUAGCUUUAUGCUAUUGCUCAACCUCUAAUCAAUGAACAUGAUGAGAUUAUCUAUGAUACGCUGUUUUCCCUUCUUUUAUUAUGAUGUUGUACUUGUGGUCUUCAAGGGGGCUCGAGCGGUUUCUCGAGUGCCUCUCCGUAAGGACCUGUUCUAUGGAUGACCGCCCGGGAAAACAGUGCAACCAUGAGGGUGGAAUGGGGUGCCCUUAGCUGAAUAAUUAGAGGAUCCGGGGUGUAGUUCACUUAGCCGUUGUGCCGUCAAUGGGGCUCGGUGUAUGCGGCUCGCUCUGCCAAGUUUGGGUUCGCCCCUUGGGGAGGAGUGCGGUGCAUUUAGGAAACCUAACGGGUGGCUACAGCCCCGGGGAAUCUUUGUAAAGGCUUCGUAGUGAAUCCCUGGCUAUUCACCUCGGGAGUGAAUAAGGGUCUUGCAAGCCCGGGCCAGAGAGGGAAUCACGGCUUGUGGGUAAAGUGCACAACCUCUGCAGAGUGUUUGAAAAACUGAUAUAUCAGCCGUGCUCACGGUUAUGAGCGGCCAAGGGAGCUCCAGUGAUUAGUGGUACUUGAUCAGAGAUGUUCGGAUUACAGGUGGUGAUGAGAAUGAUGGUUUUGAUUAUGAUUAUGAUGCUGGUAAGUGGUACUCUUUCCGUUUGGAAAGGAGUACGUUUGGGUUAAUAACUUGGGUUAAUGCUAAAACUUGGCUUUCUACUAGUAAGUAAUAAUCUGACCAACUAAAAGCAACUGCUUGACUUAUCCCCACAUACAGCUAGUCCACUACAGCCAAACAGGAUACUUGCUGAGUAUGUUGAUGUGUACUCACCCUUACUCUACACACCAACCCCCUCCAUCCCCAGGUUGUCAGCAUUGCAACCACUGCUCAGGCGAAGAUGAAGCUGUGGAAGGAGACUUCCAGGAGUUCCAAGAUUACGACGAGUUCUAGGUGUGGGUUAGCGGCAACCCCCAGUCGGCUGCCUGUGAAGGCCGCGUUUAUCUACGUUUCUUUUCCGCACUUUGAUUUAUUGUAAGGACUAUAUGGACGUCUCAGACGUAUGAUGUAAUCAACUAUUUCCCUUUUUAAUACUAUUUUGAGCACUGUGUGAUGAUGUCCAUAUUAUGUAACUGCUGUGUACGUGAAUAACUGAUCCUGGCACGUACAUGGUUCGCAUUCGGUUUGCCUUCUAAAACCGGGUGUGACAACCGUGGCGGAGGCCAUGGCCAGCGGCUCCCAACAUGGCCCCAAGGCUCCCCCCGAGGGCAUAUAAGCCCUAAACCUAUGCUCCCGCACACCUGCUUCAUAUCCGCCCCUGCGCGAUGCAGUCUGCUGUCCAAGUACCCGGCCGCGGCGAGUGAGAGCUUCGCGGCACGCUAUAACUUCGGUGAGCGAUUCCUAACGAACCGCACACCCAACCUGAGCUAAAUUUGGCGGCUCAUGAUCAGAGGAAUAAGGCAAGCGCGAUAGAGGAAUCCUUACCGUAUUUUGAGGUGGCGGCUCCGCGGCUACAGAGCAGCACCGGUGAGAAAUUCCCAUUCGCCCAUGGCGCCCUGAGCUCUGAUUCUACUUCGAUUACCAUCCCCACAUGCUGACGAAUCGAUCAAGACACAUCCGAGGACCCCGGGCGACCCCCAGCUGUGAGGCAUCGGUGGCGGCCAUCUCCUGCUUCUCUCUGCGCUCCCUGAUCUCCCUCUCCGAUCUUUCCUCUCUCCCGUGGCGGUGGAUGCCCGUUUUGGUGACAAGAGCUAGCACCGACGGGUGAGGAAAGAGGGCGCAUGGCACUGCUACUUAUAGGGCCAAAGCACGGAAUCCCGGCUAGAGAAGUACGGCGAAUUUGGCGGGUUGUUACGAUCCAUACGCGAGCAGAACUCGGGUCAUCCGGUUGAGGGAGGUGAACCUGACAAAACGGGCCCGCAUGCCGGUGACUGAGGAGUUCGCGCGGGAGGAAGACUGGUUGACCGCGUGGGGUCCACAUGUCAGCGCGCAGAAUUGGGUGGACUGGCGUGUGCGGUUUGUGGAAGAAGUGGGCUGACUGGGGAAUUCGGCCCAGAAUCAGGUUCGUUUCAUCCUUUUCUUUUUUAUUUCUAUUUCCCUUUCUUAUUUCAAAUCCAAAUCAAACCAUGUUUAAAUUCUAAAUUCUAAAUUUCAAAUUUAUGCACAAGAAAAACUCCACAUGAUGCACAAUUUCCACAUAGUAUUUAUUUAUUUAGUUAUUUUAUUUAUUUUUAUUAUUUUAUUUAGGUUAGGUUUUCAACAUGAAGUACACGCACCACAUUAUUUCAAUAUAUUAUUAUUUUGAGUGUGUAGUCAAAUUAAAGGUAUAUUCAAAAGUUCUACCUUUGUUUUGAUAGGAACAUUUUCCAAUGUCUUAUCUUUUUUUAGGAUUUAAUUUAACUAUCGUUAUUUUAUUAUGACCAUUUACCUUAAAAGGGUGAAUUCUAGGGUUUCAAUUAUCUAUCAAGGGUACUUUGUUCUGAUUUCUUCUACUAUCCCAAAUUGAGAAUUUUGGGUUUUACAAAUCCUACCCCCCUUAACAGAAAUCUCGUCCUCGAGAUUUGUAAGAAAAAGAUGCAAUAAGUUUGGUUUUAGUCUCCCUUAUGGUUUAUGUUUAGGAACCAAAAGUUUUGUCCAAGCUCUUAAAUACUAGUUAGAAGAUGAUUUGGAAAAUAUAGUAAGUCUAGCCAUCUAUUAUGUCAGAUGAGGCACGGUUAUGGCAAGUAUAGUUGGUGGCAAGGAAAGACUUCAUCCUGAAUUGUGGAUCGUGAUUCCUCUUGAAGUUGGAUUUGACUCAUCUCCUUCCUUGUGAGGUUGAGCUCUUCUUUUCAGACCUUGGUGUCUUCAUCCAAGUUAGGGACUAGAGGUUUAGUAGGUAGCUAUAAGUUAAACAAGAUUAGUUAGAAUUUAGUUCGGAUGUUUGCUUCUAGAUUGGUUGGCUAAGUUAUGCAACCCGUUAUGUAGGUCAAGUUAUUGUGUAUGGCCAAGUUGAUCUAAGUCACCAAUUUAGGCUUAAGUGAAUUAGGAGUAUGGCCUUAUCUUUUGUACUAGCAUUAAGUAACUUACUCUAGAUUAGAUUAUAAUAGAUUAGAUAAAAUCUAGAUUAGGUUGGAUAUGACUAGAUUAGACUAGUUAAGAUCUCAUUAUUUUGGAUUAGGUCCCGGUUGUUUCGUUAGGAUGAGUUAAGUAAAGUGAUUAGGGUAAGACAAAUCUUUCAAGAUAAGAUGCAUCUAUUAAGAUAAGAGAGAAUCUUUUAAGAUAAGAUGGAUUUAUUUGAUAUAUUCUAGUGGGGGUACUCUUAGUUGGUCUAAUAUAUCUAGUUUAAUAGAUCCAUUUUAAUAGGGAUUAUUCUGUGUGGUCUAUUUUGUAAAUAUUUUCCCUUAUGUCUAGAUGUAUAUGCAGAUGUAAUUGUGGACAUUACUCCACAACUCAUCACACUCAAUCAAAGAUCCAAAUAAGACAUGUAUCAUAAGAACAAAAUAUUCAAAUUCAUAGAUAUCUAUAAAAAUAGUUUUAUUUUUGUUCCUAAGAGUAGGUCUCCUAUUCCUAAAAGUCACUUUAAGCACAGGAUUUCAAAGUGUGAAAUCCAAGUUUGUCUCUAGAAGUGAAAAGGUAAGAAUAAUCAGAGUGAAGCGGAAUUAGAUGAGAAAAGAUUAAGAUAAGUUUAGAAAAAGAAUCAGAGUAGCAAAGGUAAGUAGACAAUGGUUGUCCAGUUCUAUCUAGGUUUCGUCCUACAGUCAACAUUCCUCUGAUACCACUUCUGUCACACCCGGAUUUCGGGGCACCAAGACCCGGGCGCGAACAUAAUCACCAGGUGUGCUGGGACCAAGUCUCACACAUAUGAUGAAUCAUGGCACAGGAUCGAAUGUCACAUCUUUACUAUAUAAUAUGAGUUCUGUACAAAAUAAAUAAUUACAUUAUAAGAAGACAACGGUCCAGCAACCCAAAGUUGACUGGGAGACGACGGCCUAGACCUCUCACGAACUCGUCACAGCAUCCUCCAAGCGCCUCAUCUUACGGUACAUGUUCUUGACCUGUGGGGGGGUGUGAGACAGCAAGAGUGAGCUCACAUACAUUCAUCGCUCAACAAGUUGUGCGGAAUAAUGUGCAUGAACUCGCCAAAGGUGGGAGCUCACGUGAAGUGUAAGGCUUACCAAAGAGGAUGGUUAGAGCUGAGCAUUGCUUUUAAAGUUGGUCAAAAUUUUAUUAGCAGUUAUUAAGUAUAAGUAAAUACCAACCCAAUUAAGUAGUAGAACAAAAGUAACAACCUCAUCUGCGAUGCAGUGCAUAUGACAAAUUGAGUUUAAGUUCCAUAAUUUAAUCAUGUGAGUGUCCGAGCUGCUCAUGACCGUGAGCACGGCUAGUAUACCAGUUUUACACUCUGCAGAGGUUGCGCAUCUUUACCCUGCUCAUGACCGUGAGCACGGCUAGUAUACCAGUUUUAUACUCUGCAGAGGUUGCGCAUCUUUACCCACAAGUCAUGUUACCCAUCUGCCAAGAGACGGCCAAUCCCAUACACCUCUACCAAGGAGGCGAGGCAGGGUAACACUACGAGGCCUUUACAAAGUUCCACUAGCUUCAGAAAACCCACUACAGUUUAUAGGAAGCUCCAAUGCAGGAAUCCCUCGCAUGACCGCCAUCGCAGCAAAAUCAUCCCAAGGGCCUCCCUACACUGACCACUCCCCUACUGCCCUUGCCCCUUUCGGGUAAGGUAGUCAUCCACUAGCUUUCCUAAUUAAUCAGCCAAGGGCGUCCAUAAACCCUUGUGGUAGCACUGUUUUCCCGGGUGGUUCUCCAUGUUCCCAUUAACAUAAUGAUCUUAUCAUGAACAGUAAAUAAUAAACAGAUAAUAAAAAGUGUAAUCAUGAAUAGUGUAUCUCCAUACCCAAAACCACAUAAAGCAAUAACAUGUACUACCCAAAAAUUCAGUGGUAAACAAGGUAUAAAGAUAGUCAAAUCUAGGGUAACCUAUUGGGUCCCAUCAAAAUUAACCUAUGCAGAUCAUUAUGAUUAAUAAGAACAUGACUGGGUAAAAAGGAAGUGAUCAAGGGCACAACUUGCCUGGGACUUGAGAUUCCAGGUACCAGGAUGAUCUUCAGGUUCUCGUGACCUCACUGCUAAACGUAGCAAUACAUACAAACUUAGUAUAGACAAAAUUAACAUCACACCAACCAUAAGUACAAACUGAAUAAUAAUGAUCUACGCGAUGCUACGAGAUCGUAGAAACAAGAACCACUAAAUUCGGAGCUAUGGUUAUUAAGUUAGGAAUUUCUGAAGUUAUUUAAUACCUAGAAUAGAGUUAUUCAUGUGAAUAAUUUUAAAUCAAGUUUCAUGGUUAGACAAAUGUACUAGGUAAUAAACAAUACUUAAACAAAAUUAAUCCCACUGGAAUGAAUCAAUUUGGAGCUAAAUUCAUCAAGUUAUGAAUUUUCUAAGCUUAUCAUAUUUAUUUUUAUCCUGAAAAUCAUUUUAGAUUUGUAUUUCCUGAAAUUCCAAGACUCUGGACGGCGACCACUAUUUUCAAAAACUCGGGGGCUAACACGUGAAAUCACCCAGACACAGAGAACUCCACACAGGAUGGCGGGUUGAUUCCCCAUAACCCAAGGGGCUCUUAAGCAAAAAGCCAACGGCGAAGAGGUAAGGAACAACCAGAGCCGUUGGAUUAAAAGGAUACGGUCCAGAUUAGAUUUUUACAACUCUGAACCGGCACGCAGCCCUGGCCCUCGGAUUUGGAUCUAACGAUGUAAAUUUUAAGUACCAAGAUCUAAUCGUAGCCACUGGAUCCGAGAUCUACGGUUCUAAUUCCGCUGGGUGAAGGGGUACACUGGAUCAGAUCGGGACCGUAAGCCAGCGAUCCUACGGCUACAGACGUCGCGCGACCAAAUCCAAUCUAGGCCGCCCAAGACCCAUCAGACGGUCCGUACCCUUCUUCCCCCCUACGCCCUCCUAUUUCCUUUUCUCUCUCUCUCCAUGGCUGACCGGUGGCGCGUGAGCACGACCGUGGCGGAGGCCAUGGCCAGCGGCUCCCAACACGGCCCCAAGGCUCCCCCCGAGGGCAUAUAAGCCCUAAACCUAUGCUCCCGCACACCUGCUUCAUAUCCGCCCCUGCGCGAUGCAGUCUGCUGUCCAAGUACCCGGCCGCGGCGAGUGAGAGCUUCGUGGCACGCUAUAACUUCGGUGAGCGAUUCCUGACGAACCGCACACCCAAGCUGAGCUAAAUUUGGCGUCUCAUGAUCAGAGGAAUAAGGCAAGCGCGAUAGAGGAAUCCUUACCGGAUUUCGAGGUGGCGGCUCCGCGGCUACAGAGCAGCACCGGUGAGAAAUUCCCAUUCGCCCAUGACGCCCUGAGCUCUGAUUCGACUUCGAUUACCAUCCCCACAUGCUGACGAAUCGAUCAAGACACAUCCGAGGACCCCGGGCGACCCCCAGCUAUGAGGCAUCGAUGGCGGCCAUCUCCUGCUUCUCUCUGCGCUCCCGGAUCUCCCUCUCCGACCUUUCCUCUCUCCCGUGGCGGUGGAUGCCCGUUUUGGUGACAAGAGCU
This 17971-nucleotide long non-coding RNA is filed under the name Zea mays. RNAcentral describes it as "long non-coding RNA (ZMAY_LNC000645)". Lineage: Eukaryota; Viridiplantae; Streptophyta; Magnoliopsida; Poales; Poaceae. The record is from RNAcentral.